GGAGAGAUGGCCGAGUGGCUGAAGGCGCACGCUUGGAAAGCGCGUAUACAUGAAAAUGUAUCAUGGGUUCGAAUCCCAUUUUCUCCG
This 87-nucleotide transfer RNA is filed under the name Borrelia miyamotoi. Its description in RNAcentral is "tRNA-Ser". It matches the Rfam family "tRNA". Rfam says of the family: Transfer RNA (tRNA) molecules are approximately 80 nucleotides in length. Their secondary structure includes four short double-helical elements and three loops (D, anti-codon, and T loops). Lineage: Bacteria; Pseudomonadati; Spirochaetota; Spirochaetia; Spirochaetales; Borreliaceae. RNAcentral also lists the same sequence under 1 other name. The record is from RNAcentral.